This 465-nucleotide ribosomal RNA is filed under the name uncultured bacterium. RNAcentral's name for it is "partial 16S ribosomal RNA". It matches the Rfam family "Bacterial small subunit ribosomal RNA", at positions 339 to 795 of the family's 1533-position model. The record is from RNAcentral.
CUACGGGACGCAGCAGUGGGGAAUAUUGGACAAUGGGGGAAACCCUGAUCCAGCAAUGCCGCGUGUGUGAAGAAGGCCUGCGGGUUGUAAAGCACUUUCGGUUGGGAGGACUGCUUCUAGCACUAAUAUUGUUGGAAGUUGACGUUACCUUCAGAAGAAGCACCGGCUAACUCCGUGCCAGCAGCCGCGGCAAUACGGAGGGUGCAAGCGUUAAUCGGAAUUACUGGGCGUAAAGCGCGCGUAGGCGGCUAGAUCAGUCGGGUGUGAAAGCCCCGGGCUUAACCUGGGAACUGCAUCCGAUACUGUCUAGCUUGAGUACAGGAGAGGAGAGUGGAAUUCCACAUGUAGCGGUGAAAUGCGUAGAUAUGUGGAGGAACACUAAUGGCGAAGGCAGCUCUCUGGCCUGAUACUGACGCUGAGGUGCGAAAGCGUGGGGAGCAAACAGGAUUAGAUACCCGCGUAGUC